This 467-nucleotide ribosomal RNA is filed under the name uncultured bacterium. Its description in RNAcentral is "partial 16S ribosomal RNA". It matches the Rfam family "Bacterial small subunit ribosomal RNA", at positions 29 to 507 of the family's 1533-position model. The record is from RNAcentral.
ACGAACGCUGGCGGCGUGCUUAACACAUGCAAGUCGAACGGACAGGCCCUGCUUUUGUGGGGUGCUCGUGUGGCGAACGGGUGAGUAACACGUGAGUAACCUGCCCUUGACUUUGGGAUAACUUCAGGAAACUGGGGCUAAUACCGGAUAGGAGCUCCUGCUGCAUGGUGGGGGUUGGAAAGUUUCGGCGGUUGGGGAUGGACUCGCGGCUUAUCAGCUUGUUGGUGGGGUAGUGGCUUACCAAGACUUUGACGGGUAGCCGGCCUGAGAGGGUGACCGGCCACAUUGCGACUGAGAUACGGCCCAGACUCCUACGGGAGGCAGAAGUGGGGAAUAUUGCACAGUGGGCGGAAGCCUGAUGCAGCAACGCCGCGUGCGGGAUGACGGCCUUCGGGUUGUAAACCGCUUUCGCCUGUGACGAAGCGUGAGUGACGGUAAUGGGUAAAGAAGCACCGGCUAACUACGUG